AGCGAACGCUGGCGGCAGGCUUAAUACAUGCAAGUCGAGCGGGCGUAGCAAUACGUCAGCGGCAGACGGGUGAGUAACGCGUGGGAACGUGCCCUUUAGUUCGGAACAACACAGGGAAACUUGUGCUAAUACCGGAUAAGCCCUUACGGGGAAAGAUUUAUCGCCGAAGGAUCGGCCCGCGUCUGAUUAGCUAGUUGGUGAGGUAAUGGCUCACCAAGGCGACGAUCAGUAGCUGGUCUGAGAGGAUGAUCAGCCACACUGGGACUGAGACACGGCCCAGACUCCUACGGGAGGCAGCAGUAGGGAGUAUUGGACAAUGGGGGCAACCCUGAUCCAGCCAUGCCGCGUGAGUGAUGAAGGCCUUAGGGUUGUAAAGCUCUUUUGUGCGGGAAGAUAAUGACGGUACCGCAAGAAUAAGCCCCGGCUAACUUCGUGCCAGCCGCCGCCGUAA
This 451-nucleotide ribosomal RNA is filed under the name uncultured bacterium. RNAcentral describes it as "partial 16S ribosomal RNA". It matches the Rfam family "Bacterial small subunit ribosomal RNA", at positions 29 to 523 of the family's 1533-position model. The record is from RNAcentral.